GACGAACGCUGGCGGCGUGCUUAACACAUGCAAGUCGAACGGAAAGGCCCUGCUUUUGUGGGGUGCUCGAGUGGCGAACGGGUGAGUAACACGUGAGUAACCUGCCCUUGACUUUGGGAUAACUUCAGGAAACUGGGGCUAAUACCGGAUAGGAGCUCCUGCUGCAUGGUGGGGGUUGGAAAGUUUCGGCGGUUGGGGAUGGACUCGCGGCUUAUCAGCUUGUUGGUGGGGUAGUGGCUUACCAAGGCUUUGACGGGUAGCCGGCCUGAGAGGGUGACCGGCAACAUGGGGACGGGGAGACGGCCGAGAGUCAAGGGGGAGGAAGAAGGGGGGAAUAUUGAAAAAGGGGGGAAGGCGUGAUGCAGCAACGCCGGGGGGGGGAGGAGGGCUUUGGGGUUGAAAACCGCUUGCGCCGGAGAAGAAGGGGGAGAGAGGGUAAGGGGUAAAGAAGCCCAGGCAAACUAAGUA
This 468-nucleotide ribosomal RNA is filed under the name uncultured bacterium. RNAcentral describes it as "partial 16S ribosomal RNA". It matches the Rfam family "Bacterial small subunit ribosomal RNA", at positions 28 to 507 of the family's 1533-position model. The record is from RNAcentral.